AUUAAAGUGGCAGAUUGAUUGCGGGGAAUUUAAGCUUCCUUUAGGAUUUUCCUUUAGUA
RNAcentral lists this transfer RNA (59 nucleotides) under Alectorobius peropteryx. RNAcentral describes it as "tRNA-Leu". The record is from RNAcentral. Lineage: Eukaryota; Metazoa; Arthropoda; Arachnida; Ixodida; Argasidae.